RNAcentral lists this non-coding RNA (490 nucleotides) under Solanum tuberosum (potato). RNAcentral's name for it is "Eukaryotic small subunit ribosomal RNA". It matches the Rfam family "Eukaryotic small subunit ribosomal RNA", at positions 637 to 1113 of the family's 1831-position model. Lineage: Eukaryota; Viridiplantae; Streptophyta; Magnoliopsida; Solanales; Solanaceae. The record is from Rfam by way of RNAcentral.
AAAAUAGUUGUAUUUUUUUUAGAAAAAAAUGGGUAAGGGGUAAGGGGAAAUGGGGAAGAAAAUUACAAGGUGAAAAAUCAAAUUAUAACCAAUAAGUUGAAAGUUCAGUUAGCCAAUCAUCUGAGUUAUUAAGAUUUUUCAAAUUAUAACCAAUAAGUUGAAAGUCCAGCUAGCCAAUCAACUGAGCUAUAAAAUUAACUUGUAAGUGUAGUGACACAUUCUUAUUUGAUAAGACACUGAUUAGAUUAACAGAGACAGUCGGGGGCAUUCGUAUUUCAUAGUUAGAGGUGAAAUUCUUAGAUUUAUGAAAGACGAACAACUGCGAAAGCAUUUGUCAAGGAUGUUUCCAUUAAUCAAGAACGAAAGUUGGGGGCUCGAAGACGAUCAGAUACCGUUCUAGUCUCAACCAUAAACGAUGCCGACCAGGGAUCGGCGAAUGUUGCUUUUAGGGCUCCGCCGGCACCUUAUGAGAAAUCAAAGUUGUUGGGUU